GGUGAACCUGCGGAAGGAUCAUUAUUGAAUUUUAAUGAAGAGU
RNAcentral lists this ribosomal RNA (43 nucleotides) under Rhizoctonia solani. RNAcentral describes it as "partial 18S ribosomal RNA". Lineage: Eukaryota; Fungi; Basidiomycota; Agaricomycetes; Cantharellales; Ceratobasidiaceae. The record is from RNAcentral.